CGGAGGGUGCAAGCGUUAUCCGGAUUCACUGGGUUUAAAGGGAGCGCAGGCGGAUUGGUAAGUCAGUGGUGAAAGGCUUAAGCUUAACUUGGGAACUGCCAUUGAUACUAUUAGUCUUGAAUGUUGUUGAGGUUUGCGGAAUGGGUCAUGUAGCGGUGAAAUGCAUAGAUAUGACCCGGAACACCUAUUGCGAAGGCAGCAGGCUAAACAAAUAUUGACGCUGAGGCUCGAAAGCGUGGGGAUCAAACAGGAUUAGAUACCCUGGUAGUCCACGCCCUAAACUAUGAUUACUCGACAUAUGCGAUACACUGUAUGUGUCUGAGCGAAAGCAUUAAGUAAUCCACCUGGGAAGUACGACCGCAAGGUUG
RNAcentral lists this ribosomal RNA (368 nucleotides) under uncultured organism. Its description in RNAcentral is "bacterial SSU rRNA". It matches the Rfam family "Bacterial small subunit ribosomal RNA", at positions 526 to 896 of the family's 1533-position model. The record is from RNAcentral.